This 377-nucleotide unclassified non-coding RNA is filed under the name plant metagenome. RNAcentral's name for it is "partial contains 5.8S ribosomal RNA, internal transcribed spacer 2, and large subunit ribosomal RNA". The stretch from base 1 to 106 matches the Rfam family "5.8S ribosomal RNA", at positions 49 to 154 of the family's 154-position model. The record is from RNAcentral.
CGAAAUGCGAUAAGUAAUGUGAAUUGCAGAAUUCAGUGAAUCAUCGAAUCUUUGAACGCACCUUGCGCUCCUUGGUAUUCCUUGGAGCAUGCCUGUUUGAGUAUCAUGAAAUCUUCAAAGUAAAUCUUUUGUUAACUCAAUUGGUUUCUACUUUGGUAUUGGAGGUCUUUGCAGCUUCACACCUGCUCCUCUUUGUUCAUUAGCUGGAUCUCAGUGUUAUGCUUGGUUCCACUCGGCGUGAUAAGUUAUCUAUCGCUGAGGACACUGUAAAAGGUGGCCAAGGUAAAUGCAGAUGAACCGCUUCUAAUAGUCCAUUGACUUGGACAAUACUUUUAUGAUCUGAUCUCAAAUCAGGUAGGACUACCCUCUGAACUUAA